GGGGCUGAUUGGUUUCGACGGGAUUAGUUGGGUAUAAGUGGCAAGCCGAAGGCACUCGUUACGUGCAACAAAACAAUAAAUGGAAAAAAUUUAAAAAAUGUAUUUGCUAGUGCUUUUGCACCAGCAUUCGCUUAAUAGAAAUAGGCAAUACAGCCCUUCUUUAUUUCAUUCCCAUGGGAAUUUAGAGGGGCUCGAUUUAAUGGGAUAUACUAUUAUCUAGCUUUGAGAUAAUAGCGAAUUUUAAAAGCUUACUAAUAAAUGAGUUGUCAAUUACUAACAUUUAUUAGGACAAUUAAUAAUUGACUAAACUUGUAGAAGCUUAUAUUGGAUUAAUUUCGGACAGCGGUUCAAUUCCGCUCAGCUCCACCA
Molecule: transfer-messenger RNA, 369 nt
Filed under: Bacilli
Lineage: Bacteria; Bacillati; Bacillota
Also listed under: 1 other name
Description: DUWA01 sp012840755 Standard tmRNA
Rfam family: transfer-messenger RNA
About the family: Bacterial tmRNA, also known as 10Sa RNA or SsrA, is named for its dual tRNA and mRNA-like properties. Its role is to liberate the mRNA from a stalled ribosome.
Source: RNAcentral